RNAcentral lists this transfer RNA (61 nucleotides) under Arion ater ater. Its description in RNAcentral is "tRNA-Lys". Lineage: Eukaryota; Metazoa; Mollusca; Gastropoda; Stylommatophora; Arionidae. The record is from RNAcentral.
UUUUUUAUAGCUUACAUAAAAUGCAUUAAAUUUUUAAUUUAAAGACGGAAGUAACUAUCCU